AAGUUUUUCAUGUAAACUUUCAACACAAAAUAAUGACAAAGGUUAAGAACAAACUAAAAGCAGGGCAUGAUUAAAUAAUACUUAAGAAGUGUUCAAUAAAAAAAUAAUGAGUGUAUGUCAAAUAUACUUGAACUAAUUCAAGUUAAAUAAUUUGGUCACUUUAGAAAACAAAUAUGAGUAUGUGACAAUGUUUGCUAAAUUAGGCACUAUUGGAUUUUUAAAUUCAUUACAAUCUGAGUUGAAAAUGUCAAAACUUUAUUCAUUAAAUAUGCACUAUUUUUCAAACAAAAG
This 291-nucleotide long non-coding RNA is filed under the name Glycine max (soybean). RNAcentral's name for it is "long non-coding RNA (GMAX_LNC002787)". Lineage: Eukaryota; Viridiplantae; Streptophyta; Magnoliopsida; Fabales; Fabaceae. The record is from RNAcentral.